GACGAACGCUGGCGGCGUGCUUAACACAUGCAAGUCGAACGGAAAGGCCCUGCUUUUGUGGGGUGCUCGAGUGGCGAACGGGUGAGUUACACUUGAGUAACCUGCCCUUGACUUUGGGAUAACUUCAGGAAACUGGGUCUCAUACCGGAUAGGAGCUCUUGCUGCAUGGUGGGGGCUGGUAAGUUUCGGCGGUUGGGGAUGGACUCGCGGCUUAUCAGCUUGUUGGUGGGGUAGUGGCUUACCAAGGUUUUGACGGGUAGCCGGCCUGCGAGGGUGACCGGCCACAUUGGGACUGAGAUACGGCACAGACUCGUACGGGAGGCAGCGGUGGAGAAUAUUGCACAAUGGGCGGAAGCCUGAUGCAGCAACGCCGCGUGCGGGAUGACGGCCUUCGGGUUGUAAACCGCUGUCGCCUGUGACGAAGCGUGAGUGACGGUAAUGGGUAAAGAAGCACCGGCUAACUACGUG
RNAcentral lists this ribosomal RNA (468 nucleotides) under uncultured bacterium. RNAcentral describes it as "partial 16S ribosomal RNA". It matches the Rfam family "Bacterial small subunit ribosomal RNA", at positions 28 to 507 of the family's 1533-position model. The record is from RNAcentral.